This 475-nucleotide ribosomal RNA is filed under the name uncultured Methanosaeta sp. Its description in RNAcentral is "bacterial SSU rRNA". It matches the Rfam family "Archaeal small subunit ribosomal RNA", at positions 862 to 1338 of the family's 1478-position model. Lineage: Archaea; Methanobacteriati; Methanobacteriota; Methanomicrobia; Methanotrichales; Methanotrichaceae. The record is from RNAcentral.
UGAAUUGACGGGGAGCACCACAACGGGUGGAGCUUGCGGUUUAAUUGGAUUCAACGCCGGAAUCUUACCGGGACCGACAGCAAUAUGAAGGCCAGGCUGAAGACUUUGCCGGAUUAGCUGAGAGGUGGUGCAUGGCCGUCGUCAGUUCGUACUGUGAAGCAUCCUGUUAAGUCAGGCAACGAGCGAGACCCACGCCCACAGUUGCCAGCGUACUCUCCGGAGUGACGGGUACACUGUGGGACCGCCACUGCUAAAGCGGAGGAAGGAAUGGGCAACGGUAGGUCAGUAUGCCCCGAAUAUCCCGGGCUACACGCGAGCUACAAUGGUUGGUACAAUGGGUAUCUACCCCGAAAGGGGACGGGAAUCUCCUAAAACCAAUCUUAGUUCGGAUUGAGGGCUGCAACUCGCCCUCAUGAAGCUGGAAUCCGUAGUAAUCGCGUUUCAACAGAACGCGGUGAAUACGUCCCUGCUCCUU